UUGACCUCAAAUCAGGUAGGACUACCCGCUGAACUUAAGCAUAUCAAUAAGCGGAGGAAAAGAAACUAACAAGGAUUCCCCUAGUAACUGCGAGUGAAGCGGGAAGAGCUCAAAUUUGAAAUCUGGCGGUUCUUGACCGUCCGAGUUGUAAUCUAGAGAAGUGCUACCUGUGCUGGACCGUGUACAAGUCUCCUGGAAUGGAGCAUCACAGAGGGUGAGAAUCCCGUCUUUGACACGGACUGCCUGCACGUUGUGGUGUGCUCUCGAAGAGUCGAGUUGUUUGGGAAUGCAGCUCAAAAUGGGUGGUAAAUGCCAUCUAAAGCUAAAUAUUGGCGAGAGACCGAUAGCGAACAAGUACCGUGAGGGAAAGAUGAAAAGAACUUUGGAAAGAGAGUUAAACAGUACGUGAAAUUGCUGAAAGGGAAACGCUUGAAGUCAGUCGCGUCGGCCAGAAAUCAGCCUUGCUUUUGCUUGGUGUACUUUCUUGUUGAUGGGUCAGCAUCAAUUUCGACCGUCGGAUAAAGUCGUCGGGAACGUGGCAUCUUUGGAUGUGUUAUAGCCUGGCGUCGCAUACGGUGGUUGGGAUUGAGGAACUCAGCACGCCGCAAAGGCCGGGUCUCUUGAGACCACGUUCGUGCUUAGGAUGCUGGCAUAAUGGCUUUAAUCGACCCGUC
RNAcentral lists this ribosomal RNA (674 nucleotides) under Inocybe fuscidula. Its description in RNAcentral is "eukaryotic LSU rRNA". It matches the Rfam family "Eukaryotic large subunit ribosomal RNA", at positions 1 to 653 of the family's 3401-position model. The record is from RNAcentral. Lineage: Eukaryota; Fungi; Basidiomycota; Agaricomycetes; Agaricales; Inocybaceae.